This 6808-nucleotide long non-coding RNA is filed under the name Panax ginseng (ginseng). RNAcentral's name for it is "long non-coding RNA (PGIN_LNC012703)". Lineage: Eukaryota; Viridiplantae; Streptophyta; Magnoliopsida; Apiales; Araliaceae. The record is from RNAcentral.
CCGUCAAACUACAUAAAAUUAAAUUCUUAUCAAAAAUAAAAACAAAAGAAAAUACUUGGAUUUUUUUUUGCAGAUCAAAGUAGUUUUUUACUAUAAUUAUUCAUACACAACAAGGCCAGAGUGCCAUAAACUUUUGCUACAUGGACAUUAUUCAAGAUACUAAAGGUUAGCCUCAUAGUAAUAAUUAGCCAACCCUAGCACUCAUAACUAUUUUACAUAGAUAAUACUCCCAAAAGCAUUAAUUAAACAAGACAGUAGUCCAUUUUGUAGCCGUACCAUUUGUGCUAUAUUAUAGAAUUGGUCCUCGGAUCCGCAAUUUUCAUUUUAGAAGGUAGUGUUACGAAUUUGAGGCGGUAGUCAUCAGUAGCGUCAUCGGUAGGGCAAUCUACGAACCUUGUUGCUUGUUGGUUCAUGCAUACAUUAAUAUCCGUAAGCACAUAUUCUGAGUUUUCGUUUUUGGUGAAAUCGAUUUCUGGCACAGCAUUCAAGUGCUUUUUGAUUGCUUCUUUUAUCAUUUUAGGACGAUAAAGGUCGUUAUUCGGGUGAAUCCCUACACAUUUUUGAAUAGUAAUCUCAUCAAACUCACAUUAUCAUUUUACUUAGGAAGCAAUGAACCAAAUUAAAGACUAUUUAAUUAUAUAUGAAUGGGUAUGUUUACCUUCCUGGUUUAGUAGCCCAAUUAUAUCAAAUGCUUUUCUAAAAGCAAGCGCCGUUCUAAAAUAAUCAGUCUGCUUCAACAAUGCUUCUGAACACCUUCCAUGUUUCUUCCACUCGUAUUCCCAGAAUUGUACGUCCUCGGUGUUAGUUUCAUGACUCGGCCAUGCAAGAUGCAUUUCUGCUCGAAAGUCCGAUACCUUUAAUUUUCAAAAUGAAGGAGGAGAGAUAUUAGUUUAACAUAUGUGAGUAUGUAUGGAUAUAUUGCAUGUACACUUUCAAUUUUUUAUCAAACAAACUUAUGACUUAUCCAACUCUUCAAGAUAUAUAUAAAUGUUACCACAAAAAAAAAACAUAUUUAAUAGACAAUAGAGCAAGAAUUUUAAGUAGUAAAUUAAAUGCAGACCGAGAGAACUCACAGAGUUAACAUCAAAGGCAGUUCCGUCACAAUAUAACCCUGGGGUCCCCUUCUCGUUAUAGGGAUAAAGGCCGUGAAUGGUAAAUGUGUUGAGGAGAGACUUUGUAUCACAGGCAUUGUUGACCUCGCAAAAUCCAGCUGGCCAUUGAAGCCUUAGGGCAAACAUUGCCAAUGGAUAAUCUGAUCGAGCAUUCCCACCCCAAGAGAAAAUGCUCAAGCUCACUAUAAUGAUGCUGAUAAUAUAUAUUGCCCUCAUGAUCUCUUCAAACUUCAACAACUUUUUUCUUAAGAAAUGAAGUGUGUGUUUUCUGUGAUCUCUAGACUUCCAUGCAUACCCUUUUAUAGUCACCAGUUCUUUUUUAAUUAUAAUAAGAAAAAACUUAUAAAAUAUUUUUAUUUAUAUUUUUGAGUGUUAAUUUAUCCGUAAAGCUUUCUGGCAUGAAACCAUGGGCGGAACCGGGGGCACCAAAAUUCUGCACAUGCUAUAUAUUAAUAUAUAUAUAUAUAUAUAUAUAUAUUACUAGCAUACAUAUAUUAAUAGUCAAUAUAUUUAUAUAUACACACACACAUAUAUAUAUAUAUAUAUAUAUAUGUAUAAUAAUAGUAAUUUAUAAUAAUAGUCUAAAAUUUUUUACAUAUGCGCGCUCCAUAAAUUUAAAAUUAGAAUAAAUUUUAUUUUACAAUGAAAUUCAAAUAAAAGAACUUAAAACAUAAUCAAAUCUAGGUCGCUACUUGAGAUUGAGGAGUGAUCACAAAAACCAAGUUCUUUAUUUAUUAAAUUAUUUUUUUAUAAAUAUUUUAUAUUUUUAAACAUCAUAAAUUACUUCAGAGACUCUCCCCUCUGUUGAUUUUUUUCUAUAUUAAUUUUCUUUGUUCUAUAUAGAAAAUUGAUAUUUUCAUAUAAAAAAUAAUAUUUCUACAUGAAUCUCUCUCACGUAUUUCUACAUGAAAUAAAAAAAAUAUUUUUAUAUAAAUUUUGAUAUUGACCAAAAUUUUUGAGACGUUUUCAAACUAUGUUGAGUCACAGAAUACAAUUAUAUCUUCUCAAUCGUACAGUUGAAAGAAGCACUCCAAGUAUCAAUAAAUAUUUUUUUUUAUUAAUAUAUUUUGACUCCUUUUAAAAACAUUCUGAUUCUGCCAGUGAAACGUGUUGAAAAAUAUCCAUUGUAUGGUCACCUGUCACACUCUUAGCUGCUACUCCAUUGGUUUUUGUGAAACUUAAUUAGCUUUAACACAUAAAGCCAAUUAGGUUAAUUAAAUUACCCGCCUAUUCCACUUGGUUGCCUUUGUCUUCGUGGUACAGAAGUAGGUGUUAAUUGUAAUUUUUUUUAUAUUAAUUUUAAAGCUAUUAAGUAGUUUUUCGUACACUAACAUGGACAACAAAAAAAAUGACUUGAAUAUAUUUUUAAAAACUCAAGAGAGUUAUUGCUUAUAAAUAUAUGUUUAAACCUGUAAUUCAAUAAUGUGAUCCGCAUGUGACUAAUUUGAGUGAAAAAUUUUAUUUUUCUUUUUUAUCAAUAAAAUGAAAUUCAUUAAUACCCAAAACAUGAUUAUAAAAGAAACUCAAGUUAAACAUGAGCAGCUAAUACAGAAAUUCUAGGGGGACAUUUUUUUGUGACAUUGUUUAGCGACUUUUUUUUUUUGGUUUUUUUUUGUAGUACCUCUUAAAAAAUCUAUAGUAUUUAUUUCAACUAAAAUUUUUAUAAAAAACAGUGUUUUAGGUGUAAAUUGGAUACAUACAAGAAACAGGGUCUGUACAGUCUGUACAACCCUGUUUCUUGUAUAUAUCCAAUUUACACCUAAAAUAUUAUUUUUUACAAAAAUUUUAAUUAAAAUAAAUACUAUACAUUUUUUAAAAUGUACUACAAAAAAAAACCAAAAAAAAAAUGUCACUAAACAAUGUCACCCAAAAAUGUCGCCCUAGAACUACUCCAGCUAAUAACAUAAGUUCUAACAGACAAUGAAUGAUAAGACCCAAAUUACCUUCAAUCACACACUCAUGCAGAAAAAGGACAAUGACAGCGUUUUUUCUCAGCACCGUUUAAUGUGCGUAGAGCAGUAGUGUUUGGAUAAUGAUAAAUAAAACGACAAUAGAGAGAGAGAGAGAGAGAGAGAUUUUUUCGAUUAUUAACUUUUAAUGUGGGUAAAGUAGUAGUAUUUGGAGGUCCAAUGCCACAUUUUAUAUAUAAAAUUUGGACCCGAUUAUUAUGAAAAAUUUUAUGAUAAAUUAGUCAAUUAAUUAAUAAAAUACUGACACAUAGAUAGAGAUCACUUUUUGAUCUGUAUGUCGAUACUCGAUACUGUAUUAAUCAAUUGAUCAAAAUUAACUUCAUGCUAACUACUCCAUAAAAUUUAAACCCUUAAUAAUGUAUAAGUUAUAAAAUUAUUAAUUGUGUUUGGUUUGUUUAGAACUUACGGAGUACUAAUAGACCAAACCUUUUUCCUUCUAAUAUUUUUUUUUCCCUCCGAGCAACAUGAAAAAGUUUGCUAUAAUGAUGAAGUUAUUGCCGGUAGCUAACUACCGCCCUGACUUUGAGUGGUUGUAGAAUUAAUGGCUUAUCGAUCCCUUAUUGAAGAAGAAGAGAUACAAAUAAAAUUUUUUAAUAAAUUUUAUUAAUAAUAAAUAAAUUUAGAUGAAUACAUAGAUAAACUUGUAAGAAUAUUUUAUGAGAGAAUAUUAAUUAUAUUUAUAUAAAUUAGGCUAAUUGAUUGGUCUAAUUAAGUGUGAUAUAUGGACUCUAAUUAAGUCUAAUAUAGAUUGGCUAGUAUGAGUUAUUUAAAUAACAUUUUGGGCUUGUGAUAAGUAUAUAGUUCCACUAGCUAGGAUUGCUAAUCAUACUAAGAAGGUUAUUGAAGGUUUCUCAUCGAGCCAACAUUUAAGGCAUCAAGGGAGUAGUAUAUAAUUUGGUCAUUCAGAAAGAUCAAUUCUGUUGCGCUAGCUCAUUAUGGAUUUCAAAUAAGGUACACAAUAUUAUUAUUUUCUAUAUACCUAGGUCUGGAAUGGGUUAGUUUUGGUUUACAUAAUUUAGUUAUGAUUAUAUUUAAGAAUUAAAAUUACAAUACUUAUUUUUAAUAUGAAUUAUGUGGAUUAGAACUAUAUAAUUAUGAGUUAUGUGGGUUGAAAUUAUAUAGUUAUGAGUUAAAUAUAAAUAAACUCAUAUUUCAAUUUUCAAGCUUACCAUUAUUAUGGUCCAAUUAAAUAAAUUACUUUAAAUUUAUUUUUUAUAUCUUCCUUUUAACUUUCUCUCUAAAACUUUUAUACUCUCUCUCUCUCUCUAAAAUUUAAUUACUUGUGGUGUUUCUAAGUUUUUUGUUAGACAAAAUUAACCCUUUUUUUCAAACUUACGCAUCAAUUAAACCUAAGAAUUAAUUAAUCCAAAACCAGAAAUUUAUCAACGUCAAUGAGAAGAAAAAUACCUAGGACAUGAUUAUCGUAGAAGAGAAUAAGUGUCUUAGCACUAGUUUUAACGUAUGUACGAAACAUACUUAGAAAGCACAUUUAUUUAAAAAAGUCACUUCAUCACAAAAUAACAUUUUUUUUCUUGUCUUUUCUUUAAUUACCAAAUAUUGUGUAUAAGUAUUUUUAUAGUUGCAUUCUAUCUUGUACUCUUAAAAAGAGUUUAAUUGUAUUUUCUUUUAGGAAAAAAAAAUAUUGUCUUCGUUCUAAAAUUAGAAAUACAUUUUGACUUUUUAAAAUCAAUUAGGAAAAUCCUAAAACUCCAAAUUGAUAUAAUUUCGUUUAAGUUUUAAAAACAACAAAGAUGAUAAUUAGUAGUGCUUUAUAAUUAGUUUACAAUUGUUAUAUUUGUUUUUAUUAAAACUAAAUAAAUUCAUAUCAAUUUUAAAUUUUAGAAUUUCGUAAAUUAACUCGAAAAAGUCAAAAUAUAUAUCUAAUUUUGGAACGAGAGAGUAAUAUUUUUAUUGAUCUUAGUAUAUAAUGACAUGAUGACAUAAUUUUACUAUUAUAUUAUUAUUUUUAAAUUAUUUUUUUUUAAUUAAACAUAAAAUAAGUAUAAAUUCGUUCAAUCAAAGUAGUAACAACCACCUUGAUAGACACAGAACUGUACAUGAAAAGAAAAGAAAUCAAAACAAGACGAUUCAGUAUAUUGCAUGACAGACAUAUUUGAAUUCACAUCCCAUGAACCUCAUUUCUUUACAUAUUCCAAUAUCUUGCGAAUUCUGGAAUACCUUUACAUGUGCAGAAAUCAAGUAGGUAAAAAUUAGUUAACUAGUUUGGGUGUAUUUUUUUUUUUUUGAAAAAUAUGGGUUCAAAUUUAAACCAAAUCAAAGAAUUUAAAAUAAUUAAUCAAGUCAAAAGAUUAUAGUUAAUAUAAGUUGACUCAUUAAUUUAUAAAUUAAAUUGUCAAGUCUAGUUCUACGUGUUCUUCUCCUAUUUAUGUAUACGAAUAAAAUGAAUUAUUACAAAUUAAUAAUACAAUUAGUAUCAGAACUUCACCUAAUAAAGUUAAUUUUUAUAUAUAUUAAAAUAAUUUAUUGAGGGAUCGAAUUAAUUUAUUUCUCCUAUGAUACGAUUAUAUCGUUUAAACGUACGGAAGUUAAAUAAUUUUGUUAAACCCAUCAUGACAUUACUGUUUAACUUCCACCGUACUGUUGUUUGAAAUUUGUCAUUACCAAUCAAAAAGUCACUUUGAUUGUUAUAAUAUGAAUUCAUGUAAUCCGUCCAUGUGUAUCGAUCUGGAUAAUGCAAUCACGUGAUGAUGUCGAGCAAUUUGGCUUAGUAAUUUACAUGCAUACUUUUUGGCUUAAAAAAUUAAACAACAAGCUUUCUGGCCCAUUCAUGACAAUGAAAUUGUCAGCUUGUAGCUGUAUUAAUUUGCAAAUUCAUAUAUUAAGUCAAUUUAUAUAUGUCCAGCAUAUAUAAUUUUGCUGCUUCGCAGUUUGGUUUAUGUGUUUUUGUUGGCCGAAUUAUAUGUCGUAAUCUAUUCUAUGACUUUACAUGGGUAUAUAUGUGUAGAUUAUAUGAUAAUUUGGCAUGGAUGAUAAUUAUGUACAAUGUUCGCCAUAUGUUAAGGCUAUAUUUAUUUAUAUGAUUAAAAAUGCAACUAUUAUUUUGAGCACAUAUUUAUAUAGUCAUGUUUAUAUAUUUUGCAUUGUUAGUGCAUAAAAUAUAAUUAUACGCACGCGAAAGUAUGUUAUAAAUUAUAUUUAAUUUUUUUUUUUACAAUUCUAAGAAUCAUUUUUAUACGAUAUUAUUAAUUAAGGAAAAUUUAAAAUCAUCCCGAUGAAAACAAAUAAACUUUUAAUUUGCACGGAUCAAAUGCAAAUUACUUGGUGUUUGUAGCACUCCAAAAAUGAUCCAUCAAGAGAAUAUAAAGAUGAAAAAUGAUUAAUUUAGGGUUAUAAAAAAUCCUAGAGCUAGUGAUUAGUCCUUUUUCUCUAUAUCUUUCCUAACCUAUUUAGAUUUGAGAAUGAAUAAUUGUAGUAAACCCUACUUCAUAAUAAAGUCUCUCCUUAUAUAGACAACUCAUUUUAGAGUUUUAAUCUAAUUUCUAAGCUAUUUAGGAACUAGAGUAUUUAUAACAUAAUAAUAAUAAGAAAACGAAUACAUCAUAUUAAUUUAUAAUUAGUAGUUCUUAAAUAAUUUAUUAUAAAUAUUAAAAUAUUUAAUUUGUUUCAUCAUGGUACAAAUUAAAUAUACUUAUUUUAUUAUUAUUUGGGUCAAUUACUUUUAAAGCAAUAUUUUUUUAUAGUAUAAUCAUUUAGGUUCAAUAUUAU